RNAcentral lists this ribosomal RNA (465 nucleotides) under uncultured bacterium. RNAcentral describes it as "partial 16S ribosomal RNA". The record is from RNAcentral.
AUUAUUUGAGUCUUUCUAAAGAAACUUUGGCCUUGUCCUUUCAAGGACAUUCAAGUUUCCACAUGAUUGUGUGGCCCGCGGAGAUUCACAUGUCGGUAGCUUCCCUUGGGUGAGAAAAAACACUAGGAAACCUGAGGGAAUUCCCUAACUCUCUUUAAUGACAAAGCUUUCUCCGCCCGAUGAUGAUUCUGCAAAUUUUUCUUCGUUGGGGGUGAUGGGGCACCCCAACUCUUUGAUAGAUGCGAUCUGAGAAAAGGAGACUCCUCAUUUUGGGUGAGAAACGCCGCGCAGCCCUCUACCGUACGUGAGAGUGGGGAUUUUGCACUCUGGCACAUUCUGUUAUGCCGAUAUCCCGAGAGUCUUAAGAUUGUUCUUGAUUUAAACUUCGUUCUGAGGGGGAAAAAAAGUCCGUUGCACCUAAAAAAAGGCCGCGUUGCUUGUCUUGUGCGAACCGCGCGUAAAUAA